GCUUCACAUUUCCAAGAAGAAAAUGAUUCAAGGGGGACACAUAAUAAGUAGAAAUCCGAGUGCCUUUUAUGGAAAUGACUUAGGUUAAUGGUUGCAAUUGAUGUUUUUAGAGUCUGUCUUCCUUGUCUUAAAGUUGGAAUUGUUGUGUGUAUGUAUGGGUGUGUGUGUUUAAGAGAAAAUGUUUUGCUGCACCCCUUCCAGAUUUUCAGCAUAAAGUGUGGCGUGUGCCCAGCUGGGGAAGAGGAAUAUAUGAAAUGGAGCCAGAUGUCUAAGCAAAUCUGCCAGGAAUUCUCCUCAACUCCUGUUCUCUUUCAUUCUUUCUUGGAAACCAACACCAAAGAGAAAAACACAUGCAAACAACAUCAAAGGGGGUUCUCAAGAAAGAACUAAACAUCCACUGGACACCCAAUGGAAACAUGGGUCAGUCUCCCCAUUACAGGGCAGACGUACAAUCAUGAUGCUUUUAAAAAAAUGCCAAGUAAUAUUUGGUGCCUCUGUGGACAUGCGAUGAAUAUUAACCACCAAUGAAUUCACAUGGGUCACUUAUCUAUUCAACCAUUUGCUGGAUCCAAUUAUUUCGAAAGACCCUACUGUGCCAUUGUCAGCAUUAUUUGAAAGAUUGUGGAGAAGAGCCAAGGCAUCAGAUUUGAGAAAGGCAAAUGUACCAAAUUUCAAAAAAAUGAAAGAGAAGAGAUUUCAAAUUAUUUACAAGUGAGUUUGACUUUGGUCCUUGGGAAAAUUCACAUACACACACACACACACACACACACACACACACACACACAUCACACACACAUCACUUUUCUUCCAUCUUAAAUUUGUUUCUAAGUUUAGUUUCCAAGGCAGAAGAGUGGUGAAGAAUAGACAAUUGGGGUUAAGUGACUUGCUCAAGGCUCCAAAGCUAAGAAGUGUCUGAGGCCAGAUUUGAACCUAGUCUAGCCCUUACUGCUCUUCUCCCUUGGAACUUAUAUUUAGUCUCACUUCUAAAAGAGAAGGUAAGGGUUUAAAAAAAAGAAGGUGGUGGGUUCCCUUUCAUUGCAGGUCUUCAAGGGGAAUUUUGUUUAGUUCUGGGUUGGACCCAAUGACCUCUAAGGUCUCUUCUAAUUCUGUGAUGCUGGGAAAUAUGACCAUUCAUAAAAGAAAUCCUUGACAGACAUCAACUAUAAUAAUUAAAGGCCUCUCUGGAAGGGGUGAUAAAAAUAAGAUGCAAAAUGCCCCCUGAUAAUAAUGGCUUCUUGCGUCUUGUGUUCUUCUCUUGGAGAGAUUCCAAAUGCUAUGUGAACCUUAAGAAAGCUGCUAUUAAGAAGAAUCACAUCAAAAAGUAUUCAUUAAGUACAUCAAAUACAGUUCUACUCUAUCUAUGCUUUGA
Monodelphis domestica (gray short-tailed opossum) is the source of this 1369-nucleotide non-coding RNA. NCBI's taxonomy places the organism in Eukaryota, Metazoa, Chordata, Mammalia, Didelphimorphia, Didelphidae. The record is from RefSeq and is a predicted model, not a curated record.